UCCGUUGCUUGCAACGGCGAAUUGUAGUCUCGAGAGGCGUUUUCGAAGCGGAUGAUCAGUGCUAAAGUUGCUUGGAACGGCACAUCAUAGAGGGUGACAAUCCCGUAUGUGGCACUGAAAACCGAACACGAUGCGCUUUCUAUGAGUCGGGUUGCUUGGGAAUGCAGCCCAAAAUGGGAGGUAAACUCCUUCUAAAGCUAAAUAUUGGCACGAGACCGAUAGCGAACAAGUACCGUGAGGGAAAGAUGAAAAGCACUUUGAAAAGAAAGUUAAUAGUACGUGAAACCGUUGAAAAGGAAGCGCAUGGAAUUAGCAAUGCGCUGUCGGGAUUCAGGUUGGCGUUGGUUGCUACGGAGUUGUGCGGAUCCGAAUGGACUGCCGGCUCAGUGAUUCUGCUGAUCGCAUUUCUUGGCAGUGUGCGUCAACAGGUGUUGGAACCGAGUGAUAAGCCUUGCGUGGAGGUGGCCAAUGAUUGGUGUUAUAAAACGUGAGUGCGAGCUCGGGUUCGACAGAGGCGGCGGCACAUGGGCUGGUCUCUCUCUUCUCUAUUCCAUGUCUAACGGAUCGGACUGCGUGCAGUGCGUUCUAUCUGCUUGGGAUUGGUUGGGAUGAUGGCUCACAUGUGCUAAGGUUGUUGGCGGUCAUAUGAUUUCAUGCGACCCGUCUUGAAACACGGACCAAGGAGUCUAACAUGUGUGCGAGUCUUCGGGUGACUGAAACCCUCGGGCACAAUGAAAGUAAAUGAGUGAGAUCUCGGGCGCAUCAUUGACCGACCUAUUCUAUUCUUAGAAAGGUUUGAGUAAGAGCACAUCUGUUGGGACCCGAAAGAUGGUGAACUAUGCUUGAGUAGGGCGAAGCCAGAGGAAACUCUGGUGGAGGCUCGUAGCGAUUCUGACGUGCAAAUCGAUCGUCAAACUUGGGUAUAGGGGCGAAAGACUAAUCGAACCAUCUAGUAGCUGGUUCCCUCCGAAGUUUCCCUUARGAUAGCUGGAACUCGGAACAGUUUUAUCAGGUAAAGCGAAUGAUUAGAGGUCUUAGGGUUGAAACAACCUUAACCUAUUCUCAAACUUUAAAUUGGUAAGAAGCCAUACUUACUUAGCUGAAGUUGGCACAGAAUGAGAGUUCUUAGUGGGCCAUUUUUGGUAAGCAGAACUGGCGAUGCGGGAUGAACCGAACGCUGAGUUAAGGCGCCUAAAUCGACGCUCAUCAGACCCCACAAAAGGUGUUGGUUGAUCCAGACAGCAGGACGGUGGCCAUGGAAGUCGGAACCCGCUAAGGAGUGUGUAACAACCCACCUGCCGAAUCAACUAGCCCUGAAAAUGGAUGGCGCUCAAGCGUCGUGCCUAUACUCAGCCGUCAAAGCAAAUCGCGAAGCUUUGACGAGUAGGAGGGCGUGGGGGUCGUGACGCAGCCUUUGGCGUGAGCCUGGGUGAAACGGCCUCUAGUGAAGAUCUUGGUGGUAGUAGCAAAUAUUCAAAUGAGAACUUUGAAGACCGAAGUGGAGAAAGGUUCCAUGUGAACAGCAGUUGGACAUGGGUUAGUCGAUCCUAAGAGAUAGGGAAACUCCGUUUCAAAGCGUCCAAUUUUGGACCACUUAUCGAAAGGGAAUCGGGUUAAUAUUCCCGAACCGGAACGCGGAUAUUCGUGCUAGAUGUGCGGUAACGCAACUGAACUCGGAGACGUCGGCAGGAGCCCUGGGAAGAGUUCUCUUUUCUUGUUAACGAUCUGACACCAUGGAAUCUGAUUGCCAGGAGAUAUGGUUUGAUGAUCGGUAAAGCAUUACACUUCUUGUAGUGUCCGGUGCGCUCCUGAAGGCCCUUGAAAAUCCGGGGGAAAGAUUAAUUUUCGCGUCUGUUCGUACUCAUAACCGCAGCAGGUCUCCUAGGUGAGCAGCCUCUGGUCGAUAGAACAAUGUA
This 1916-nucleotide ribosomal RNA is filed under the name Corymorpha anthoformis. Its description in RNAcentral is "eukaryotic LSU rRNA". It matches the Rfam family "Eukaryotic large subunit ribosomal RNA", at positions 123 to 1903 of the family's 3401-position model. Lineage: Eukaryota; Metazoa; Cnidaria; Hydrozoa; Anthoathecata; Corymorphidae. The record is from RNAcentral.